UAACGCGUAGGUAACCUGCCUUGUAGCGGGGGAUAACUAUUGGAAACGAUAGCUAAUACCGCAUAACAAUGGGUGACUCAUGUCAUUUAUUUGAAAGGGGCAAAAUGCUCCACUACAAGAUGGACCUGCGUUGUAUUAGCUAGUAGGUGAGGUAACGGCUCACCUAGGCGACGAUACAUAGCCGACCUGAGAGGGUGAUCGGCCACACUGGGACUGAGACACGGCCCAG
This 229-nucleotide ribosomal RNA is filed under the name uncultured bacterium. RNAcentral describes it as "partial 16S ribosomal RNA". It matches the Rfam family "Bacterial small subunit ribosomal RNA", at positions 111 to 334 of the family's 1533-position model. The record is from RNAcentral.